RNAcentral lists this unclassified non-coding RNA (433 nucleotides) under soil metagenome. RNAcentral describes it as "partial contains 5.8S ribosomal RNA, internal transcribed spacer 2, and large subunit ribosomal RNA". The stretch from base 1 to 120 matches the Rfam family "5.8S ribosomal RNA", at positions 35 to 154 of the family's 154-position model. The record is from RNAcentral.
GAUGAAGAACGUAGCGAAAUGCGAUACGUAAUGUGAAUUGCAGAAUUCAGUGAAUCAUCGAAUCUUUGAACGCAUAUUGCGCUCUCUGGUAUUCCGGAGAGCAUGCUUGUUUGAGUAUCAGUAAACACCUCAACUUCCAUAUCUUUUUUUGAAAUGGGAGUUGGACUUGAGUGAUCCCAACGCUUUUCCUCACCGAAAAGUGGCGGGUUACUUGAAAUGCAGGUGCAGCUGGACUUUUCUCUGAGCUAUAAGCAUAUCUAUUUAGUCUGCCUAAAAAACAGAUAAUUACCUUUGCUGCAGCUAACAUAAAGGAGAUUAGUUCUUGUGCUGACUGAUGCAGGAUUCACAAAGACAGCUUCGGCCGAUUUUGUAAACUCGAUCUCAAAUCAAGUAAGACUACCCGCUGAACUUAAGCAUAUCAAUAAGCGGAGGA